GAUGAACGCUGGCGGCGUGCCUAAUACAUGCAAGUAGAACGCUGAAGCUUGGUGCUUGCACCGAGCGGAUGAGUUGCGAACGGGUGAGUAACGCGUAGGUAACCUGCCUCUUAGCGGGGGAUAACUAUUGGAAACGAUAGCUAAUACCGCAUAAAAGACGAUAUCGCAUGAUAUUGAUUUGAAAGGUGCAAAUGCAUCACUAAGAGAUGGACCUGCGUUGUAUUAGCUAGUUGGUGAGGUAACGGCUCACCAAGGCGACGAUACAUAGCCGACCUGAGAGGGUGAUCGGCCACACUGGGACUGAGACACGGCCCAGACUCCUACGGGAGGCAGCAGUAGGGAAUCUUCGGCAAUGGGGGCAACCCUGACCGAGCAACGCCGCGUGAGUGAAGAAGGUUUUCGGAUCGUAAAGCUCUGUUGUAAGAGAAGAACGAGUGUGAGAGUGGAAAGUUCACACUGUGACGGUAACUUACCAGAAAGGGACGGCUAACUACGUGCCAGCAGCCGCGGUAAUACGUAGGUCCCGAGCGUUAUCCGGAUUUAUUGGGCGUAAAGCGAGCGCAGGCGGUUAGAUAAGUCUGAAGUUAAAGGCUGUGGCUUAACCAUAGUACGCUUUGGAAACUGUUUAACUUGAGUACAGAAGGGGAGAGUGGAAUUCCAUGUGUAGCGGUGAAAUGCGUAGAUAUAUGGAGGAACACCGGUGGCGAAAGCGGCUCUCUGGUCUGUAACUGACGCUGAGGCUCGAAAGCGUGGGGAGCAAACAGG
RNAcentral lists this ribosomal RNA (765 nucleotides) under uncultured Streptococcus sp. RNAcentral describes it as "bacterial SSU rRNA". It matches the Rfam family "Bacterial small subunit ribosomal RNA", at positions 28 to 776 of the family's 1533-position model. Lineage: Bacteria; Bacillati; Bacillota; Bacilli; Lactobacillales; Streptococcaceae. The record is from RNAcentral.